Coturnix japonica (Japanese quail) is the source of this 5772-nucleotide non-coding RNA. NCBI's taxonomy places the organism in Eukaryota, Metazoa, Chordata, Aves, Galliformes, Phasianidae. The record is from RefSeq and is a predicted model, not a curated record.
UUGAAAAAUGUUUAAGUCCAUUAGAAAAAAAUUACUGGUGUUCAACACUUACAUAUAUUUAUUAAUAUUAAUGUUUUAAAUUCCUACAUCCCUCCACGCUCUCAGCAUCACCUUUUCCAAUAUAAUUCUCAUUUCCAACUGAGUGAUUUGAUCUUUGCUUUAAGAUAAUUCUUCAUCUGUUGCUUAUUUGGCUUAAUUUCUUCUUGACCAGGUUUCGCAGCUUCAGAUUCUGUGUUGGCAGUUUCUUGGCCAGUUUUCAUUUCCUGUUGACCAGAUAAAAUCUCUGCCAGUAUGGAAGCUAACUCCUCCAUCGCUGCCCUAGCAAGAAGCGAGCACGCUGAAUCAUAUCAAUAUAAAUCUACCCUUCAUAUAAAUCUGAUCCUCUUUGGAAGUAUCAUCCACCCUAACAUAAGCUUUGUCACUUUUUAUGAGUGAUUAUGAAUAUUAAUUAAUUAUUGUAGCCCACUUGCUUACAUGUUUGUAAAUAGAUGGCUAUUACGGUAAUUAAAAUAGAGAGACAAUAGUAGCAGAAUGGCUUCAGUCUCCUCCAAUCACUAAAAGUGACACAGAUUCAUACCUUUAAGAACACUGCUUUUACAGGACAGGUCACUGUUCAAUUCCAUAUGCACAUGGACCUACUUUCUGGCAGUUAAAGCUGAACGUUUAUGUGCAGAGUCAGCACAGGCUGAGCCCCAUUGCCCUGCAUACCAUUCAGCUAACACAAACACAGACCUAGAGACAAGAGCUUCCACUCCGUCAGUUCUAUAUGCCCAAAAGUUCAGUUUGGUGUUUUCAUCCUGAAUGAUGGAGAAGCCACGGGACAGCUGAAUCUUGUAUCCUCUUUUUUUUUUUUUUUUUUUUGCCACUGACUGCCAGCGGUUUGCAGCAUUGGAGACAAACCCCUUGAGUGUAAUUAUUUGCACAUAAUUUUCCUCCUGUAGACAAGGCUAUGAUGAGUUCAAGGCACUGUGUGCUGAUAUCCUAAUCUGUGUCUUAAAUGGAGCUUUCUGUUGGGAGAUGCCUAUUCCAUUGCCCAUGUAACUGCUCCUGUUCCAUCUCUCUUCACCUCCCUGUGCCGUGGCAUGCUCUCUGCUAUGAACACAGGACAAAACACAGAAACUGUGUCCUGUAGUCCAGUCUCCCAAGGCCCACCUCCUGCCGUCAAGCUGUGGUGGUACUUUUCCCACCGCUACUAGUCGAGCUAGUUAUUGAAAUGUUUUUGUUUGUUUUUUGCUGUUUCCCUCCCUCGCCUUCAGUCGAUGUUUGUAAAGCAUUUAACACUACACCAGGCGGGUUAAUUUACUGCGCUGGUAAAACAGGCUAUUUGGAGUGUCUUGCAACACUGACACGUUUUCUGCUUGAAAAUCAGAUGUCUCCAUCCCAAAGGAAAGAAUUCCUGCCAAAGCUUUGUUUAUAUCGAUGCCAGGUGCAAUCUGGCCCAACAGUGGUAAUGACAUAUGAACACUAAACAGUUUGUAAAAAGCGUGCUUCGAAAUGAAAUCUGAAUCCUGUAUAUAAAGACCCAGGUAAGACUCUUACUAUGAAUUUGCCUGGUAUAGGAAAGUAUUUCUUUGUAGAAACAUUAAUUUGGCUUCUGGGCUCCCUUUAGUGUUAUUAGUGGCUUCUGAUUUCAAUUUUUUCAUUACAGGUUGUUUUCCUUUGCUUCUGGUAGAGUUUUCAAAGCCACAGGUUUACUGCACAGAAAUAUUUUAACAAAAAAUGACUGUAAUUACCGUGUUUAAUAGUUUGUUUUGUACGAGGCUCUGGUGUGUGUGAUUAACAAAAGAAACCCUUCCUCUUUUUCCCUCUGCGGAGACCAACCCCGAUUUGGUGAAAAUUAGAAUCACAGCGCGUACUGCAGCACCUCUUGAAACAGAUUUGCCAGAACUGCGUUGCAUCCUCUCCUUUUUAGACAAGUUCAAAAUGGGCUUUCAUCCCCGAAGGAGAUUUUUUGGUUACUGCUGGCUACACAGAGGGAAAAAAAUUGUUAAACUUGUAUGAGUCGUGACCCUGAGAAUAAGCGACUCCCUGCCCAUCAUGUGAGAGCAGCAGAAGGCUGGGUAGGCUGUACCUUGCAUAUGCUUGCCUGAGCUCUGUGAUGCUCAACAUCCUCAUCAUGCUUUUAAAACUUACAGACCCAUAGAACAGUGGGAAGCAGCAGCGUGGAAGGCGGCAUUUCACACCGAGGGGUUUUAAAAAUGUGCCCAGAUCUCUUUUGCAAAUACAUGUAAAAUUGAUGCUCCCGCCAAAUCAGCAGCCAUUUACACGAAAGUCUGGCCCUUAAAAUCAAUGACGUUUGUGUAGCGAUCGGAUUCUCAAUCCAUUUAGAGAAGCGGCCCUACAGCAAAUGUCCAUGCUGCAGGUCAGUAUGUGAGCCACAGCAGCGCUCCUGGCAGCCCACAUCUAAGACGGACACAGAGCAAAUCGUUUGCCCAUAGAGCAUCAAAAAACCUCACAGGCCAUUUGAAAAAAUGCACAGAGAAAAGAAGGGAGAACAACAACGAUAAGGAACUGUUUGACAAAAAGCUAUUCAUGUGCGCAACCCAUUACCUCACCACAUACCUAAGCCGGAGCCACCGGGUUUCCCUUUUGUCUUAAGAAGAGAUCUGAGGGAAAUUUUCAGGAUGCCUUUCCAAUGUGUUUGAAGCAAAAUCGCGAGACAAAUAUGCCUUUAAACGAGAGAUAAACCACUUAAUACUGCAACUCCAACUUUAGAAAUCAUGAUUCUUGAAUCAGUGCCUCAGCAGAAAAGGAAAGACUCACAUUUGCAGAUGGCAAGUCACUCGCUGCAAGCUGAAAGGGUCUAUACUAUAAUGGUAAAAAAUAUGACUAUAUACACAGUCUUCCUCUGUCCAUCUGCCACUGUUACAGUCUCGUGUGGGGGUGAUUUUACUUAAGCUGGGACUGUUUGCAGGCUGAGUUCUCAUUUCUGCAAUCAGUAGGUUUGUUACGGAAAGAGUAAAUAGAUUUUAAAAAACAACAACUGCUGUCUUGGUGCUGCAUGACGAAAUCAUUGCAAUGGGCUCCCACUGAAGAAAUCAACAUACAUCUGCUGCUGGUCUGCAUGGAAUCUCAUCCUACAGUUGUGCAUGUACAUCUAUGAAUGGAGGAUUUGGGAACCUUCACAACGCUUGCAAGUAUGAAAAUGAAAGAGAGCGGUAACAACCAGAAAGACCAAUAAUAUAAUAGGAGAAAUAAAUUAAUAAUAGGGAAUGAGUAAUGAAAGUGGAUAUUUAUUAAUAUUUAAAGGCCAUAUGAAGAGUCAUCUUCUUUUACUCACUUAUUAUUCACCUUCAUCCAGUCAAACUGAAUACUAGCUUGCCAUGGUUUCCCCCACACUCCCUUUGCAAGAAAAGAUGUCAGUGGGCAGAGAUGUGUGUUUGUCAAGGCACAGAGGCACAGAAAAUCAUCAUGAACUAUGACUAUAAACUUCAGAUCACUCACUUUUCCCCUUACUUGAGACUUGCCAAGAAGGAGACAUACAGAUGGAGAGCUGGUUUUGCAGAGGGACUGUAUGCAUCUGGAAGGAGCUCUUGUGCCUCCUGCCAUCACCUUCCUCCUGCACGCCCCAAGUCCAGUGUUGUGACACUGAUCCCAGGAGCAGUGCUCCUUACCAGCAGAUCUCCAGAAAACAAGAUGUGUGCAAACUGGAAACUCCAGCUUAUCUGGGCAAUAAACAGUUUUGAUCUGUGCUUUCUGUGCCCCGAAGAAGCAAAAUAAAUAAAUGAAUAGGCAACUAAAAUCAAGGCUUAAUUCUGCUUUUCAUCACACUGUAACUGCAUUGGUGAAGGGGGAAGAGAGCCUGGCUCAUCAUCUACCAGCACCCUUCAAGGUAUUCUUCUGGUUGUAUGUCAUCUGCAAACACGAACAAGGCCUAGAAGUGGCCAUGGUGUAUAUACACGUAUGUGUGGAUGGCCCAUCACAUAUAUACAUAUCUAUAUCCAUCUUUUCUCCUUUAGAAUUUAAUAGCGACUUUGAUUUUGCCAUAGGAAAAUAGUUGUAUUUCUUUAACUGAAGAAAACGAACAGGUGUGUGAUACUCUGUUGUGUGGUUCUAAAGAUAGUCUCAGAGCCUAAAAUUCAUGGAAAAAAAUAAAUGGGUUUUAAGCUAUGCAGGAGUUAAAUGGCUUAGCAACUUGGUCACUUUUUCCCAUGUCAGGUGGGUACAGGCUGCAGUGAUUCUGACAAGGAGACCUUUUGCAUUCACUUCUACCAGUAUUAUUCCAAGAUGGGGGAGGGUGAAGAGCAAGGGCCGUAUUUACAGUCUGGAACACUGUAAAAUCACUCCCUUCAACUUUUCAGCUAAACUCAGAUAUUUAUCUUAACGAGAACUAAUUAGACCUAAUUUCCACGGUGUAUCAGUUAUUUUCUUCAUUAGAGUAGCUAAUGCCAUGUUCAGAUAUCAUAGUAAUCAAGUUUGUGAUUUCUGGAAAAACUGGUUAGAAGGCUUAGUAUUAAGUGUAUUUCCAACUGUGAAAUUUAUCCUUCUGAGCAAUGCCUCCCAGUUUACUCACUUUGUUCCAGGAUUCUCCACAGCAUAUGGCCACUGGAACCCAUUAAAUAACAAGAAGUAAGACAAAGUCAGCGAUGAGUCAAAAAUAGCUGCACUAGUGAACUGCCUUUCUAAUUUCUGUCUUUAACAAGAAAAAUAAUGAAGAAUAAGGCAUGCAAUUAGAAGAAAUUAAGGUCAAUUUUCAAGCCAGGUUCCUUACAUGGUGGUUUCCAAAUCCACAUUGGGCACCUCGAAUAAAAGCAGUCUGAUUGAACACCUGCAGCUCUUGGCAAUGCUCUCAGGCAUAUAAGGCAGCCAGGCAAUUCUUGUACACAAAGUCCCUGCUUCUCGUUUUUAUUUUCUCGAUUACCUAAACUCCUAAAACUCCAGGCCCUAAUCACUAGGUUGGCAUGUUCCUUUCUCCUCUUAAGGAAGACACCCAGUGCUUGGCCGUGUGCAUGCAAUAUAGGUGUUGGACAUGUCCCAUGUGCCUGGCAUGGGAGUGAAGGCACCAUUUUAGUAAAGGAGCCUGGUGCAACCAGCUUAUGUGGGCAAAACCUUCCCCUCUGCUUUUUAGUUCUGCAGACUUCCCUAGACAAAGAGAUGGGAUCACUCUCAUCCAGCCUGAGUCAUCCAAAGCCAGGAGUGUGCUCUGUGUUUUUCUUAGGCUAAUUUUACAGUCAACAGAGAUGGGCUGGUGUCUCUAAACAGAGAUUCAUCUUACCCCAUUACAACUGCCACAGACAUGGAGGUGGUUUGAUCAUUAGAGGUGCCCAGCUCCCUUGCAGGCAACUGGUUCAGAACAUGUUCCUUUCUCCUGGACAAGAGGCGACAUGAACCUCACCCCAGUGUUUCUGGGGCCACUGGCUGCUAUCCUGGAUGACACACAUGGCACUUUAUUAAAUGAAAAAGACUAACGUACUGCUACAUGAGUGGAAUCUAUCGCUGCCAUGGAUGUAUGACAAUUUCCACUCAAAGAGAAAUCUUAUCCAAGCACUAGUCAAUGAUGUUUACCUUCUCUCCCUUAAAACGUGCCCAGUGCUCUGAACGGGUGCUCUUCAAAUGAGGCAGAGCUUCUGAAUAAACUAAAUUCUUUAUAUAAUGCAUUUUGUCAUGGUUAUGAUUUGGUUACUCUUGUAUCCAACUCCCUUCAUUUGCAAGUUAGAAGAUGCUCCAUCUGAUCAUCAAAAAAGUGUGUUAAAAAUUGUAUCCAAGGAAAUAUAUUGUUAUUCUCUUCUGACCUGUGUUAUGAACAAUAAAAUGUUAUCUAGUUUCCACACA